UACGGAGGAUCCAAGCGUUAUCCGGAAUCAUUGGGUUUAAAGGGUCCGUAGGCGGUUUGGUAAGUCAGUGGUGAAAGCCCAUCGCUCAACGGUGGAACGGCCAUUGAUACUGCCAGACUUGAAUUAUUAGGAAGUAACUAGAAUAUGUAGUGUAGCGGUGAAUGCUUAGAGAUUACAUGGAAUACCAAUUGCGAAGGCAGGUUACUACUAAUGGAUUGACGCUGAUGGACGAAGCGUGGUAGCGAACAGG
This 250-nucleotide ribosomal RNA is filed under the name uncultured bacterium. Its description in RNAcentral is "partial 16S ribosomal RNA". It matches the Rfam family "Bacterial small subunit ribosomal RNA", at positions 524 to 776 of the family's 1533-position model. The record is from RNAcentral.